UCCCUAAUGACCCAGAUGGUAAAGAAUCUGCCUGAAAUGCAGGAGAUCCAGGUUCGAUCCCUGGGUUGGGAA
RNAcentral lists this transfer RNA (72 nucleotides) under Bos taurus (domestic cattle). It matches the Rfam family "tRNA". Rfam says of the family: Transfer RNA (tRNA) molecules are approximately 80 nucleotides in length. Their secondary structure includes four short double-helical elements and three loops (D, anti-codon, and T loops). Further hydrogen bonds mediate the characteristic L-shaped molecular structure. tRNAs have two regions of fundamental functional importance: the anti-codon, which is responsible for specific mRNA codon recognition, and the 3' end, to which the tRNAs corresponding amino acid is attached (by aminoacyl-tRNA synthetases). tRNAs cope with the degeneracy of the genetic code in two manners: having more than one tRNA (with a specific anti-codon) for a particular amino acid; and 'wobble' base-pairing, i.e. permitting non-standard base-pairing at the 3rd anti-codon position. Lineage: Eukaryota; Metazoa; Chordata; Mammalia; Artiodactyla; Bovidae. The record is from Rfam by way of RNAcentral. RNAcentral also lists the same sequence under 3 other names.